CCCCAGACCUACUGAGUCAGCGGUGGGAACCGGGCCCGGGAAUCUGUUAACAAGCCCUCUGGGCGAUUCUGAUGCAAAUCAAAGUGUGAGAGUCACUGUUCCACACUGUUCCAUUGGCAGGACUAAAGGUAAGUAUUUGUUGAGUUCUGAUAACUUGAUUACAGGAGGUGGCACAUGCCUGUCAUCCCAGCGGCUCCACAGACUGAGGAAGAUGGCAAGUUCAAAGCCAAACCCAGCCUCAGUAAUUUAGCAAUUUAGAGUCUCAAAAACUAAAAAUAAAUGAAUAAAUAAAAACAAAACAAAACAAACAAACAACAACAAACAAAAAAACAAAACAACAACAACAACAACAAAAAAACAGGGCUGGGCUGGGGUUAUAGCUUAGUGGUUAAACACCCCUGGGUUCAAUCCCUGGUACCAGAAAACACAAACAAACAAACAAAACAAUACAAAAAAAUCUACUACAAAUUGGACUCUGUCCUUGUCUUCUUUCCCACUCGGAUGGAAACUGUGGACAAAGUAUGAAAGCAUUAAAGAACAACAAAGCACACUUUGCCAAUCAUUGCAGUGUCCAAAGCUCCUUCUUCUGUAAGAGAAUCAGAAGAUACAUUUCUUCUCCAAGGUUUGGCACAACUUCUAAUGAGCAAAAUGAUGAGAUUAGACUGGUACCCUCAGUCUUUUUCCAAAUUAUAACAUGUUAAUAUAACCAAUGGAUUAAAUUAGAAAUCAUGAUUUCCAUCCACACAACACUCAAUACACAUAGCUGCUUAGAGGCAACAAUUAUCCUUGGAAAUUAAAGACCAAAACAGCACAGUAUCAUCUAACUAUACCCUCAAUGCAAAUAGUGUUAUCCAAAGAAGCUCCCAGUAAGACAACACAUGUAAAAAAUGUUAAUUUAGAUAGACUGAUAAUUUAAAAACCAACAUAGGCCCCUCUUUUGGAUCAUUUAUGUAAAACUGUUAGUAAGUGUUCCAAGUUUUAACACUUGUCUAUUCAAGACAAAUUACUAAUUUGCUAAAAUUUUAAUUUUUCUUAAUCAGGGAAGUUUGCACCUAGUGGAUCGUCUUUUUUUUUUUUCCUUCCUAAUUAACAUGCUCUUUUCUUUCUGUUUGCCGGAUAUCCCCUACUUAUUCAUUUAUUUUUUGGUUUUUCUUUAUCACUUUGUUUUACAUUUUUUUUUUUAUAAAGCACAUAGUUGGGUUUGUUUUUAAGCCAGUCUGACAGCCUAUGUCCUUCCUUCCUUCCUUCCUUCCUUCCUUCCUUCCUUCCUUCCUUCCUUCCUCUCUUUCUCUCUCUUUCUUUAUUUUUUCUAGAUAUUGGGAAUUGAACCUGGGGCCACUGAACUACAUUCCCAGCCCCUUUUAUUUUGAAUUAGUUAAGUUGCUGAGGCUGGCUUUGAACUUGUGAUCCUCCUGCCUCAGCCUCCUGAGUUGCUGGAAUUAUGGGUGUGCAUCACAACGUCUAGCUCAAUCUAUCUUUUAAUGGAUUAAUUCAGCUCAUUUACAUUUAAUUAUAUUAGUAAUCUAUUCUUCUACGUGUGUUUAUUAUUUGUUUUACAUUGCUGUUUCCUUUUUUAUCCUCUGUCUUAUCUUUACUAGUUUCAUCAAGUUGUCAUUCAUUCCCUUUUACUUGUUGUGAUUUAAUUGGUAUACAACAAACAACACAUUUUAUAGUGUACAAGUUCAUAAGUUUUGAACCUAUGUACAUGGCCUGAAACUACUACAAAAAUCAAGAUAAUAAAUAUAGCUACCUCCUAAAACAUUUCUAGGGCCCUUUUAUAUUUUUUUUCCUCCACUCCCUACUCCCAUCCCCAGGCAAUUAAUGAUCAACUUUUGUUAAUAACUCAGUAAUAUAUAAUAAUAUAUAAUAACGUAGUAACUUUUUGUUACUAUGGUUUGCAGUUUAAACAAUUUUAUAUAAAUGGAAUCAUACAAAUUUAUGUUUUUCUGUUUGGCUUCUUUCAAUCAUUUCUCAUCAUCAUCAUCUUUAUUUUUGAGACUCAUCAAUGUAUCAGGUGUAACAACAGCUUGUUCCUUUUCAUUGCUGAGUAGUAUUCUAGCAGUGGAUACCCCCAGUUAGAGUAUCCAUUCACCUAUUAAAUAUUUGGGUUGUUCACUGAUUUGAAUAUUACAAACAAAGUAUCCAUGAACAUUCAUGUGUAGGUCUUAUUGUGGAUGUAUGCUUUUAUUUCUGUUGGCUAUGGAUGUAGGCAUGGAAUGGUAGUAGUUUGGUUAACAUUUAAGGGAAUUUUCAUACUGUUUUCUAAAGUAGUUCCAUUUUAUAACUUACUGUCAGUGUAUGCAAAUGCAGUUCAUUUACACUUCACCAAUCCUAGAAUGUUAAGUCUUUAAUUUUAGUCACUGCAUUAGAUAUAUAAUGCUAUCUCAUUGUGGUUUGAAUCUGCACUUCCCUAAUGAUUGAUUGUGUUGAGCAUGUUUUAAAAAAAUAUUUUUUGCCAUAUAUAUCUCUGACCACUUUUUAAAUGAUGGUUUGUAUUCUUAUUAGUUUUGAGAGUUCAUUGUAUAUUCUGAAUAUAUAAGUUCUUUCUUAGAUAUAUAACUUGUAAAUAUUUUCUGUUAAUCAGUUAUCUUUUCAUUCUUUAUUUCUUAUUUAUUUAUUGUUUAUUCUAAUUUGUUAUAUAUGACAGCAGAAUGCAUUACAAUUCAUAUUACACAUAUGGAGCACAAUUUUUCACGUAUCUGGUUGUACACCAAGUAUCAUCACACCAUCCGUGUCUUCAUACAUGUACUUAGGGUAAUGAUAUCCAUCUUAUUCCACCAUCUUUUCUACCUCCAUCCCCACUCCCUCCCCCACCCAUUUAUCUUUUUAUUCUUAAAAGUAUCCUUCAAAAGGCAGAAUUUUUUAUUGUAUAAAUUCCAUUUUAUGGACUGAAUAUUGAGUAUCACAGUUAAGAAAUCUUCACCUGAGGAGGGAAGAAUAGAAUUCAUUGGAUUCAGCGAAGGGGAAUGAAGGGAAGGGAGGGAGGCUGGGAACCGGAAAGACAGUGGGAUGAAUGGGACAUAACUUUCCUGUGUUCACAUAUGAAUGUAUGACCAGUGUAACUCCACAUCAUGCACAACCACAAGAAUGGGAAGUUAUACUCCAUGUAGUUUGAUAUGUCAAAAUACACCCUACUGUCAUGUAUAUCCAAAAAGAACAGAUAAUUUUUUAAAAAGUGGGGAAAAAAUUGUCACAUAACAUAAGGUCACAAAGGGUUUCUCCUAGGUUUGCUUCUAGAAAUAUUACAGUCUAAGGUUUCACGUUCAGGGCUGUGAUGAGUCUUGAGUUACGUGAGUUUCCAUUUCCAGGGGUCUUCUAGCUCCUCUGCUGAUCUGCACUUCCCUGGGGCCUCCUUUUCCUUCCUUGUUUUUACUUCUCUGAAGGAGUUCAAGGAUUUCCUUUAUCAUUUUUUUUUUCAGUGUGGAUCCGCUGAAGUCACAUUUUUCAAAUUUUAUAUGUCCUAAGAUGCAUUUAUUUCACUUUCAUUUUUGACAGAUAUUUUUGCAGAGCGUAGACAUUGUUUUUUCUUUCAGUACUUCAAAGAUAUUGCUUCAUUGUGUUUUACUCACGUUGCUUAUAAUAAAAACAUGUCAAAAUGAUUAUCUUUAUUCCUUUGAAGGUAAAAGUGUCUUUUUUAUCCCUCUGGCUGGUUUUAAGAUUUUUUUCUUUAAUAUGGAUUUUGAGAAAUUUGGUUAUCAUAUGUCUUGAUAUGAUUUUUUUUCAUGUUUCCUGUGCUCAAGGUUUGUUGAACUUCUUGGAUCUGUUAAAUAUAUCUCCACAUUUUGAAAAAAUUUCAGCUAUGAUAGAUUCAUAAAUAUUAUUCUGUCCCUCUCUCCCCCUCCUCUCUUUUGAGACUUUAAUUGCACCUAUGUUAGGAAGCUUGAUGUUUUUCCAAGUUCAAUCAUGCUCUAUUGAUUUAUACUUGAGUGUAUCUUUUCCUAAUAUGUAUAUUUUGGGUUAGUGUCCACUGUUAUGUCUUUAAAUUUAUUAGUCUUUUUUUCUGCAUCAAAUCUGCUUUUAAUCCAUCUAGUGUAUUUUUAACUCCAGAUAUUGUAAUUCUCAUCUCAGGAAGUUCAACUUGGUUCUCUUAAAAGUGUGUACCAUGUAUCUACUUAACAUGGUCAAUACUUCCUCUAACUUUCUGAACAUGCAGAAUAUAGUUGUAACUGUUUUAAUAUCCUUUUCUGCUAAUUCUAGCACGUGGGUCCAUAAAUUUGAAAGCAGAAAAUACUUACCAGAAUGAAAUCUUGCUCUGUAUUUAGAAAUCAGAACCCAUCUCUGUAAGAUUGUGUGUAAAAGAAAAACAAAAUUCCUUUUCAAAAGCCAAUUCAAAGGCCAGGCUCUGUGGUACAUGCCUAUACUCCCAGUGGUUUGGGGGGCUGAGAAAGGAGAAUCACAAGUUCAAAGCCAGCCUCAGCAAGAGUGAAGUACUAAGCAACUCAGUGAGACCCUGUCUCUAAAUGAAAUACAAAAUAAGGCUGGGGAUGUGACUCGGUAGUUGAAUGCCCCUGAGUUCAACCCCCGGUACCCCAUCCCCAACAACAAAAACAACAAAAAAUCAAUUAGAGCCUGGAGUGGUGUUUCAGGCCUAUAAUCUGAGCUCCCCAGGAGGCCAAGGCAGGAGGAUUACAAGUUCAAAGCCAGCCUGCACAAUUUAGUGAAACCCUGUCUCAAAAUAAAAAAAGAUAUUAAAAAAAGAGCUGGGCAGUAUAGUUCAGUGGUACAGCACCCUUGCAUUCAACCCCCAGUACUAGAAAAAAAAAUCAAUUAGAUCUCAAACAUUUAUCUCCUGUGUAAUAUGGCCUUUAAAACCUCUAAAGGCCUUUAAUACUAAUUAAUCUUCAAGAGAAGUGGUAAUAAAAUUAAAAACUGUUACUUCAGAGUUAUGUGAAUGAUCGUUUUUCUAUGCCCCUGUAUGCUUCAAGGCCAAUGUACCAGGAAAUAUGAUGAAUUUCUUAUCUUCCAGAAUGUUGCUAGGGUUUUACUAUCAACAAGACUGGAAAUGGGUUAAAGCAUCAUAGUCCAGGUAUUAAGGGUUCACCCAGAACAAGACAGCAUGGAUCUUGGGUUUGGACUGGAGAAUAAAGGUACACGUGAGGAUGUCAGAGGGGCUGAAAGCCUCAGGAAAAACACAGCAUAUUUUGGGACAUCCAUUUUGCCUCUUGGUAAAGUUUUCAAACACUGGUUAAAACAAACAGAUAUAUUAUGCUGUAAAAUGAAAAUUCUGCAGAUCUUUAAGAUAAACUGUUUUAAGGUUUGCCUACGUACUAGGCAUAUUAUUUUUAUUAUUAUUAUUAUUUUUUACUUUUUAAUUUUUUUAUGGUAUUGGGGAUUGAACCCAGGGUCUUGCACGUGCUAGGAAAGCAUUCUAACACUGAGCCACACCUCCAGCCUAAGAUGAGAUAUUUAGACUUAGAAGAAAUACCGAGCCUUGGGUUACUUUAGGCCAUGCCCUCUGUGGGCAGGAAGGUUCUGUUACUUCGGUAAAAAAAGAGUGAGAAACCUUGUUCUAAAACCAUGGUGCCCCUAAAAAGGGAGGGAGAUAGCUCCUGACGGAAGGCCUGCACCUGUGCUGAUAGGCCAUGCACAUGCGGACAUCCUCCAGAGAUAGCAAAUGGGAGCAAACCAUUGCACACAUUCAUCAUCCAUUCAUCCAUCUUUUAAGCAUUUUAAAAAUGCCUCCUAUGUAGCAAAGAUUGCAAUAGAUGCUGAAGUCAGUAACAGGAUUCAGUGCCUAGUGAAGGAAUUCUCUAAGUUCUUCUUGCCCCAACAUAUAUCAUUAAAAAAACAAAAACAAAAACAACAACAACAAAAACUCUUGAUCUGUGCCAGACAUGGUUUCAAGUGAUUUACAGGAAAUAACUUGUUUAAUCUUUGUAUUCAUAAUCCUCUAUGAAUGUAGAUGCUCCCGUCAUCCCAUCACACAGCGGGUGUACUGUCCAGGCUGAGAGUCAUUGUAUAGUGGGACAGACAUUUCUAUAAAAAAUCAAAACACUAUGAGGGUGGGGUCGAGGCUCGGUGGUAGAGUGCUUUCCCCGAGUGCUCAAGGUCCUGGUUUGAUUCUCAGACCACAAAAACUAAAACAAAACAACAAAUUUUAACAUUAUGGUAUAAGGGUAAGAGCUGUGGGACUAUUUCUAAGGCAAUGGAGACCCUUGGUUCCAGAUAAAAGACUGACAGAGUUUAUAAACCCCAAGUGGAAAUGUCUUCCCUUCCUGCUUAUUUAUUAUCACAGAAUCUGUGCCUAAUAUGUGACUGACUUUUCAUAGCGUUUGACUGAUCCUGAACAAAGUCAGUGUGAAGCACGCCUCAGCUCACAGCCUCCCAUCUGGUUUUGGCCAAACUGAGUGGUGGGGAAUGUUAUCUAAUGCGCCAGAAUUUAGCUCCUGACCAUUUCUGAAAACAAGUUCUAGUUCUGUUUCUCUUUUCUCCCCAGCUGUAGGAAGGUAUAACUGGCAAAUAAAAAUUGAAUAGAUUACAACAAACAAUGCGAUAUUUUGCUCAGUUCUGUUUUUUUUAAUUGAUUUUAUUAAUUUUUAAAAAAUACACGACAACAGUGGUUAGUUCUAUUUCUUGGGACAGCUUUUCAUGUUCUGUGUUUGGGACGUUAAUAGCCAUUAUAUGGAGAAAUAAAAGGGGGGUCAUGUUUUAAUAAAUUUGGUGAAUUAACUCUAAGAAAGUCUUCUUUAUUAGAGGAUUUUCUCAGAAUAUUUUGUAUGCUAAUGUGUUUUAUGAACCUCAGGGGGCACUGCUCUUUGGCAUUUUCCAAGUUGUUUACCCACUCAACUCUUUUUCUUGUUGUCGUUUUUUCUUUUGUUUGUUUUUUGGUUCUGGGGUUUGAACCCAGGGGUGCUCUACAACUGAGCUAUCCCCAGCCCUUUUUGUUUUGAUUUUUUAUUUUGUGACAGGAUCUCAUGAAGCUGCCCAGGCUGGCCUUGAACUUUCCAUUCUCCUGCCUCAGCCUUCUGACUAGCUGGGAUGACAGGAGUGGCACCACCCAGGGCUUGACUCUGUUCUUGAUAGCCACAUCAUGACACUGCAUUGGAAUGGCUGGGGAAGCUUAGGUGUCCCACAGUUAUAAUGAGCCUGGUCCUUCUUCCCAGGCUGGCUUUCCAAAUACCUGUGCAUGGGCCUCAGGGAUAGUCUCCUCCCGUGUCUUCCUGACUUCUCCAUGGUGAGGUUCUCACCUUCCUCUGGAUCUCCUCUCUGGGGGCAGCUCCUCUGUGCCGGUGUUCCUCCUAAUGUGUGGGGUUCAGAACUGAGGAUAGUAGCCAUCCAUGGGUUUUGGGGUUAAUUCUGAUGGACAUCUUAGGAACGCUGGGGACACUUUGUUUUUGUUCCUUUAUUUCCAACCUGAUAGGGAGGGUUGAUGAAUCCUUGAUAUAGAAAUGAUGGAUAUUAAGAGGCUUGAGGAAUUUGGAGCAGUUCAGAUAACAAAUAGAAUGAUUCGUGGUUUUGAAGGUAUGAGGUGUCAAACAUUUGAGAGCUGUUAGGUGCAAAGCUCUAUGGAGGACAGACAAGAUCUGCACAUUCAUCUUUCUCUCAAAGAGCUAAUUGUUAAAUGAGGGAGGUGUUCAUAGAAAAGGCCAAAAUUACAAGAUAGCAUCACCCACUGUCAGAUUAACUAGAGCUAUUGGAGCUAAAGGAAGAUUCGCGACUAGCCAUCUUUAUGUUUCCUCCAUGGAAUCUCAUGCAUAUCCUCAGGAUGAACAAGCCUUGCAGAGGGACUGAAAGAGGUGGGCUUUGCUUGAAGGGGCUGUGUGCUCCCAAACAGCCUGGCACAAAGUGAAAUUUUGAUCACGGAAUGCUUUUCCCAAUGAUAUUUUAUAAAAUUAGAGAUGUGUUUUCUAGAAGAAGGUAAUGUUUACUCAAAGUCAGAAAUCAGGGCACACCCUGGAGUCGACCUCUACAAAAGUCAUGUGUUUAAAUGCCAAGACAGAGGAUUCUUUUUUUUCUGUUUUUUUUAAAGAGUCCAAAGUAUUAUUCAGAAUAAAUUAAGGAAUACAAAUACUCUCUUCUCAAGGCAGCUUUCAUAUUUGAGGAAGUUCAGUGUGGUUGGCAGGAACACAGAUGUUGGAGUGAGACCAUCUUGUUUCUGUCGUUAUUCUAAUUAUUGAGUGACUGAUCCUGGAUUUCUUAAUUUCUCAGGGUCUCCUUUCCUUCCUUCCCUCCUUCCUUCCUUCCUUCCUUCCUUCCUUCCUUCCUUCCUUCCUUCCUUCCUUCCUUCCUUCCUUCCUAUCUUUUACGUCUUCCUUUCCUUUUUAUUUAAAAAAUAUGGCGUAUUCAAUAGUGUGACCUCCUAGGCUUGGCAGGAGUGUUAAUGGGUUUCUGAACACAAAGCACUCAAAACACUUAGGAAAACCUCAUUAUUAUGUAUUUAUUGCUAUAUAACAAAUUGCCAUUUGUUGUCAUUAUUUAUUGUCUUUGUCUAUUUUUGAGGGGCUGGACUUCAGAACAACUUAGCUGGGAGACUGGCUGGAGAUUUUUCAUGAAGUUACAGUUGGCUCUCUGCUGGUGCUGAGUCACGUGGAGGCUCACCUGGGCUGGAGGACCCAUCUCCAAGGCAGUUCUCAUAUGGUUGGGGACUGGUCCCCCCUGGUGGGAUGCCUCACUUCACCUUGGCAGGGGCGUCUCCACAGGGUGGUGGAGGACCUCACACCAUGGCGGCCAACUCCCAUAGAGCAGAGGUCUAAGAGGCCAAGGUGAACUGCAAUGCCUUUUAUGACCUAAUUUUGGGAGUCACACGCUGUCACUUCUCCUCUAUCCCACUCUUAUUCAGUGUGGGAGGGGACUCUAUGAGGCAUGAUUGUGAGGAGGUGGCCAUCCAUGGGGGUUAUCUUGGAGCUGGCUACUGCGGCCAUCAAGGAGGUACUGUGUCCUGUUAUGUGAACUGACAUUAGGUAAAGGACACUUAAAUAAGAAUAUUGUAAAAUCCUGCAGCCUCAGCAUUGUUUUCUAAAAGGACAGUUUUAUAACAGGACUCCAUUGCUGUAAAGCACAUAUCAGGUGCUUUGGUUUACACUUACUUGAAAGAGGAACCUGAAACAAGGCCUUGGGUACCAGGAGUUUAUUUGGAAGCAGGAGGGAGGGAGGAGGGAUGUGAGGUGAGGAAGGAAGAAGAGCCACAUGGGGGUUGCUACUCCAGCCUCUGUGGACUGGAUUCCUCUGGGACCUUCUAGGAGGGCUACAGAAGGCCUCCCAGCAUUGUCCUCCGGAAGUGUGGAUGACCUGCACACUGGCUCCCAACUCCAGGGUUUCUACUGGGGGCUUAGCUUCCCUUGCACUUCAGAUCUGGAUUUGCAUUCUGGCUGGGGUUCUCCAUGAUGUUGGAGAAGGUCUGAGAGGAAGCAGAACCCUUGGCUCUUGGAGGAAGGAUGCUGUCAUCACAGGGUGAGUCUGAGCUCACCCAGCUGUGGUGGAAACCAGAGGAGGCUGAGGGACUUGGCGGGGAUGCAAGAGGCACUUGCUUCAUCGUGUUUUCAGGAGCUGGGGUUUGGAGGCUGUGUUAGUUCAGCUCCUCCAAGGAGCAGGUGUCAAGACCGGGUUAGAAGGAGGAGAAGUGAGUUGGGGAAAUAUGCCUUGAGGAUGGUGGGGAGGGAGCUAGUGGAGGCUGGGAAAGCCCAGGACAGUGAUGCAGUCUGACCCUGGGGAGGAGAGAGGGAGGAAGUAAUGUGGGGCUGAAAGAAUCUUAGACUGUGAUUCAGGUCUGGGAAAGGUUCAGCAAGGCCAGUGCCGAGGCUUCAAGCCAAAGUCUCCCAUUGGUAGAGUCUUGGGUUCGGCAGCACUGGACAACUUUGUGUCCAGCUGGUGUGAAGUGUGACUUUAGUGCAAACGCAGAGGUAGGUCAGAGCAUCUCAGCCUGGCAAUCAGGCAGUCACCCUCCCUCACUACCAGUGGGAAAGGCACAUUUCUAUCACCACAGGAGUGUUAUUCAUAAGCUACGACAGGCAUGUAUUUGGGGAACCAGAGUUAUUUACUGUGAAAUAUUAGAGGUCUCCUUCUUCUUUCUGCCACAUUGCCUGAAAUUCUCCCAUAAGGUACUAAUUCCUGUGUUUCAUUGUUGCCCUCUCUUCCAGGUCAACUCUGGGAGAAAGAAUGCGUCACGUCACCAAUACUUCAGCAUGAACAAAUCAUUCAAAUGCUUUUUUUUUCAGUUUUUAUUUUUAAAAAUAUUUAUUUGUUCUUUUUAGAGAUACAUAGCAGAAGAGUGUAUUUUUACAUAUCAGACAUACAUGGAGCAUAACUUCCCAUUCGUGUGGUUGUAUGUGACGUGGAGUUACAUGGGUGGCCUCUUCAUGUAUAUACGAACCUAGGAAACUUAAGUCCGAUUCAUUCUAUUGUCUUUCCUAGUCCCACCCCCUUCGUUCAAAUUCUCUUAAUGUCUAAUAGAAGGGAUCUGGGACAACUCAAGGGCAUGUGAAAUUUGGGCAAGUGGCAACUAUGGAAAGGGACUCAGAUACGAGGCAGUGGACACACACACACACACACACACACACACACACGGGCACACCUUCACUUGUGCCAAUAUCUCGUUCCUGCUGGAAAUGGGACAAAACCAACAUCCAGUCUGCAGUGGAACAGCAGGUGAAAUGUGCUUCCAUGAAACGUCUGUUGGUGCCACUUUUCCCUAUCACCUGAAGUUUUUGAAGGGGAAUGUAUUUUUCUGGGUGGUUUGAGAAAUUAAGUAAAUGUUUUCUAAGUGACUGGAAUAUAUGAGUAGAGAAAAGGAGCAGGAGAUCCUCAGGGUUCUCAGCAGGUGAUCCGUGGGCCACCUGCUUCGGAAUCCUGUCUUCCUCCCCUCUCACGUCCCCACACUGCAGACCAAGUGACUCAGAAGGUCUAAGCCAGAAGCCAGCACUUGGACAAGGAUUUCUGGUGAUUUUUGUGAAGACUAGAAUUUGAGAACCACAGGUUCAAGGAUAAUUAUAGUGGGACAAAGGACACAAAGACCAUCGCUAGGGGAGUUGAGCUCUGACACAUAAUCAAGAUGUUCCCUAUCUUCUCUUCAGAAUUCCAGACGCCAGCUUCUGUCUCCAACUCCCAGUGGGUCCUUCAAAAUUCCAAACUCAACUUGUCCCCGGCCAAAUACCUCAUCACCUGGCUGUUGCAGAGGCUUCUCCACCAGCCUUCCCCAGCAUGGCAAAAGACCACUCCGUCCUUUUGGUUUGCGCAGACCAGGCACAUCUGCCUUUUCUCCCUUCCCCUCGCUUUCCCUCUUUCUCCCCAUAUUUAUCCAAAUAGCUCAGCUUCACAACAUGCCAGAAUCAUCUCAGCACAGUUCUGCCCUUCACGGCGGGCCUAGCUGCCAUGAACCUGGCUUGCCUUUCCACAGUGCCUCCCGACCUUCUCCCUGCCUGUGCCCUUGCGCUCCCUCCCUCUCCAACCACUGCAAGGCCACCCUCAGCAGCCACAGUGACCCUCUGCUCAAAGCCAUCCAUCCGUUCCCAACCUCUCCUCAACUGGACACCUAAGUCCUCAGAGUGCCUUGGUCAGGACCCUAGCUGCCCCUCACUGCCUACAACUUUCUCCAGUAUCUCCUGUGCCCCAGCCUCACUAGUCGCCCUGCUGUUCUGGAGCACACUGAGCAUGACCCUGCCGGAAUCUCGGCACUGACUGUUCUUCCUGGACCACUCUUCCCUCAGAUGUCUGAGUAGCUCUCUCCCUUGUCUCCUUUACUUCAAUAUUACCUCCUCAGGGUCCCCUACUAUUUAAAAUUGCAGCCCUUCACAGUCUGCCUUCCCUUUCCCUGUCUUGAUUUCUUUUUCGUAGCACUGGGCAUAUUCUAAUGCUCUAUGUAAUUUAUUAUGCUUAUUUCUUAUCUCUUCCCAAUAGAAGGUAAGCUCUGCAUAGGCAGAAAUUUUUGCUUAUUUUAUUCACUGCUGUAUUUCAGGAUCUAGAACUAUGCCUGGAACACGAGAGAUCCUCAGUAAAUUAGUUUGUUAAGUGACAGUGGUGUGGCACGUGAUUUUACGAAAUGAUUCCUCAUAGAGAAUUUGCCAUAUCUAGAUUUAAAAAAAUGGUCUACUGGCCUAGACCACCCAUGGAAACAUACAUGUCAUUUCAAAAUAGCUGGCAGGAAACUUAUCCAUUGUGUCCUGUGGCUCUGGGAACCCUCCCAAGCAUUUUUACCAGCAUUAUCUUUUUAUUCCAAGAGUCAACCCUGUGAUGGGGGUCCACUUUUAUCCUUAUUUUUCAAAUGGGGAAGUUGAGGCUCAGGCAGGUUAAGAACUUGCUCAAGGAUACAGUUAGUAAGCCACAAAAUUAGAAUUUGAACCUAAAUUGGGAGAGUCCAAAGCUUUUGUGUUUAGCCAGUAAGUACACUGCUGACUCACAGAGUAGACCGCCUUAAUGGUGCCUAACCUCUGCGGUAUGCCUCUUUAAAGCUUAAAGCUGUGCUUCAUACACUUUUAAAGAUCUGUUUUGAUUAUACUAAUAUUACUGUGUUGUUUAUUUAGUUAAGGGUUUCUGUUGGCAUUUGUAGGAACAUGUGCUCUUAUCCCCAUGAGCUUUUUAGAUUUUUAGAACUUGUUGAUCGCUUGGCUCUGCCAGUUCUUAAGCUGCUCAAAGGAAUCCUGUAACUUCAAACACUCCCGCUGGCUCCCACUGGACUUUUAGAUCCCUCUAGGGGCCCCUCUGAAGGCAUUCAUCACAGGCUGCCUCAUUGUAUUUAUUCUACUGAAUUCAAGUCAACGGUUUCUCGAGUAUCCCAAGAAAACAGGCUGCUGUCCAGGCUCUGCAGACAGGAGUUAGAGGCUACAUGGUUCUUGCCCCUCAGGCUGUCACUGGAGCCAGCGAGAAUACAGGAGCCCUGUGGAGCCACAUGGAGCAGAGACACUCCUCCCAGGCACAGGAGCCAAGCUUGGCUGAGCCGGUAGUGGGAUGAGCUUGUCUGGGGGCAGGGGUAGGGGACAGAUGGCCCUCGGGAGGUGAAGCUGAGGUAGGCUUGAGGAAGUGUUGGGUUAGGGAGGCAGUGAAAGAGAGCCUGAGUCAUAUGCAGGGUGCGGUGACAUGUGAUGUGUUGGGGACACCAUGUGAACCUGGUGUGGAGUGGGCAGUGCUGAGAAGAGGGUGACAGUGAAAUGAUUGCUUUCAAACUGUGCAGGGCUGGGGAGGAGGAAGUGAGGAGUCCAUGACCCUUGUGGAGGGUUUGGAGGGAAGGGGUACAUAACCAGUUUGAGACUGUGGUUCUGCAAUAGAGUGGGGUGGGUGGGAUCAUGACCCAUAGUGACCGUGUAUCCCCCUUUCCAGAGGAAACCUCUGCCCAGGGAAAAGCAUUUCUUUAUUCUUUUUUUUUUUUUUUAACUUUAAAGAAUUUAAGUUUUAUGGUGCAUGCUAAUUUUACAGAAUGGUGGAUUUCGUUAUGGCACUCGGUCAUAAUAAUAAUACUACUUCUCCUUGCUUCCCCUCCUUUCACCUGCUCCCCUCUUUCCCCUUCUUGAAUCCUAUUGGUCUCCUUUCUACUUUCAUGAUGCGUCCCCCCCGCCCCACCACAUCCACUAGCUUCCACAAUGAGAGAAACAUAUGCUACUUCCCUUUCUUGUCUCUGGCUCCCUUCUCUUAACAUGAUGUUCUCCAGUUCCCUCCAUUUUCCUGCAAAUGCUAUAAUUUCAUUCUUCUUUAUGGCUGAAUAAAUCUCCGUUGUGUGUGUGUGUAUAUAUAUAUAUCACAUUUUUCUUUUUUCAUUCAUCUGUGGAUGGACACCUAGGCUGAUUCCAUAGCCUGGCUAUUGUGAGUUGCAUUGAGAUAAACAUGAGUAUGCAUGGAUCUCUACCCUCUGCUGACUAAUUCUUUUGAGUAAACACCAAGGAGUGGUCUAGUUGCUGGAUCAUAUGGUAGUGCUAGCUUUAGUUUUUUGAGAAGUCUCCAUAUGGAUUUCCGUUGUGGCUGUGUUAAUUUACCUUCUCAUCAAUGGUGUAUACACCUUUUCUUCACAUCUUCACUGGUAUUUAUUUUUAUUUGUAUUCUUGAUGAUUGUCAUUCCCAGGCAGACCAUUUCAUACUCAUAUUCUGUGCCCUGGAGGGCUGGGUUUAGAGCAGACACUCAGUGACUACAUAGAGUAAGUGUAUGUUUACCUCAUCCAACUUAUUAUUUCUGUAAGUUUUUCUUUUUUUUUCAUGGAGAUUUUCUUUUGAGUAGAAUGAUUGGGACUAGGGGAAGAUAGCAGAAAAGCUCUCUGAUCUCCCACUGACUCUACCUCGGCUGGCAACUGUGGGCCACAGGCUUCAGUUUCUUUGCACAUUGAUCUACUCACUGUCAGAUGAAAAAUAUUCCUCUUUCAAGCAUUUUUUUAAAAAAUGUUUGACUGCUCUGGGCUGCUUCCUGGUCAGAAGAAACACAUCUGGUAGAGGACUAAUAAUAGGAAUAGGUAUAGUAGGAUUGUGGAAAUGGAAUCAUUCAAGGCCAGAAUGGUCAGGUAUUUAGGUGACCAAGGCUACUAACUGUCCACAGAAGCAAAAGGUAUCUCCCAAAAUAGAUAGAUUUUCUUGAAUCCUUGAUCUUUUAAUUUUUUAUAGUCAAUUUGUAAAUUGAAUUAGAAGCUGGGCAUGAUGGCACACACUUGUAAUCCCAGAGGCUUGGGAGGCUGAGGCAGGAGAAUUACAAGUUCAAAGCCAGUCUCAGCAAGUUAGUGAGACCCUAUUGUAAUGCCAGAUUCGUGGGACCCCAAUAGACCUCCAGGAGCCGAAUCCGAUGCAAUCACACAAGAGUCUUUAUUGCAAGCUCGAGCCUGGACUCACAAUCGUUCCUGACACAGCAGUCCCAGGGAGUAGUCCCGGUCCUUUGUUCAGUGAGAUUUUAUAGGUUUUUUUUGGGAUACUCUAUGCAUCACAACAUCACACAGCAAAUCAUUCCAUAUCGCGGGAAAGUCAAACAAGAACUCUUAACAUUGAUUAGCACAUUCACUGGUGGGAACAAGUUGGGUAGCGGUGAUUGGUCAGAACAAGAGGGGGAUUCAUUUGAACUGAUUGAUUUAGGCCACGAGGGGUGUAUGUGCCAAACUACAUGGUUUCCCAACAUGUUAUCAACCACCAUAAACUACUGGGGGGGUCAUCAGUCAUCCCAGGUAUUUUCCCUGUCUCAUGCUGAUUGGUGGUUGCUAGGGGGUUGCUAUGGGUCCUCACCUAGCCUAACUGCGUCAGGGACACCUAGCGCCAAAGAUCUCUCCUUUUAUUUACAGACAAACAACUCAGCAGUGUGGGUAUGUGCUUAGGGGUGCUCUGUGGGUUUUUCCAAGGAUAAGGGUCACGCCCCCUUCCUUGAACAGGUUUUGCUCUGAGGUAGAGGCUGGUUUCUCAAAAGUGGAGUCACAUCAGUUUCUCACUAUCUCUAAUGAAAAAUAAGAAGGGCUGGGGAUGUGGCUCUGUGGUUAAAGCACUCCUGGGUUCAAUCCUUGGUACAAAAAAAAUUAAAAUAGAAAAAGAUGUAUAGUCUUUAAAAUAUAAUGAAAACAAAACCCAAAAAACAAAACAAAACAAAACAACAACAACAACAACAAAACCCCAAACCAUCUACCAUUAACUAUUUGGAGGAAUGGAAAUAAUUAUGAAUUUUUUUUGCAUGGCUUAAUUACAAUAUCUAUUUUUAGUAGAAAUUUGAACAAUGUAUGCUUCAUUCUGUUGAUGCUUAUGGACUUAUCUUCAGAGAAACUAAGGGAGGGAGGGAGGGAGAGAGAGAGAGAGAGAGAGAGAGAGAGAGAGAGAGAGAGAGAGAGAAAGGCCCCCUGACAUUUUGCUAUCUGUCUGCAUUGGCAAGUUUAUUAAGAAAUAGAACUAAAAUUAGCAAGAAGCAAAUAUUAUCCACCAAGUGCAAAACAUUAUCCCUGGCCAAAAAGACUUGGCCUGGAACUUAACCCUAAAGUUGAGUCCAUUUCUCCGUAUGCUGAAAGCUGGUCUGUGUACCUGUUCUGUUGGUACCAUUUUCUCAAAGUCCACACACUAAUGAACUGGUGAUUGUGGUUGGAAUUGCCUUUUUAUCUGCCUCAAUCCAAGAGCCAACCAUUUAAAACUUAUUCAGAAUUAAGAAUCCAUAGUAGUCAAUAGAGAAACUACUCUACAGGUCUACAUCAUGCUCUACUAUAUUUAUUCUAUUGAGUCCUUAUUUUUCCUGGGAAAAUGAUGAACCCUUCCAUUUUUGUAUUGUUUCAUAAUUGAAAAAGUGCCUUUCAUCCAUUACCCCAUGGCAAUCAGCAAUCUUCCUACUCUGUGAGGAAAUCCAAGCUUCUGAUAUUUUCCUAAAGUCUCUUGGCUAGCACCUGACAGAAUCCUGUCCAGUAUCUUUAUAUACUGACUCUUAGAUCAGGAUUUGCUCCCCCCAAAUCUAUAAAUUUUUAUAAAACUGCAGCAAAGCUGCAAAUGUAAGUAGGGAAAUCAAUAAUGUUCUAAUUUCUAACUACUUGAUUCAAGCAGAAAUCAAUAGCACAAAUUGAAAUAAAAAGGCCGUUAACAUUUAUUGAACACUUAUGUGCUUGGCAUUAAGAAGUACAUGUGUUAUCUUUUUAGAUUUUCCUGAUGACCCUGAGAUGGAACAUUAUGUUCACUUCCAGUGUUACAGACGAGAAAAAGAACUUCUAUGAGUUAACAAAAGACUAAAUAUUUAUGCAGCUAGUGACUAGCAGAACUGUGUUCCAACCCACAUUGGUUAGGUGCCAGAGAUAAGGGCUUUCCCACUCUUUGACUCUCUAGGAAAGUCUAACAGAGGUUGUUUUUAUAUGACAAAGAACAGCAAUAAACAUUCAUUGGGUGCUUCCUCUGUGCAGACAGAGCUGUCUGUUGUACAUUCAAUUUCUCUUUUUCUUCUUACAACAGAUCGCGAAGGAGGAACAAUUAUUGCUCCUUUGAUAGGUAGGAUCCUCAUAAUCAUCAUUCCUGUGAUUGCUAAAAUGUUGCUCAUACAAAAAGGUGAAGUCUUCUCUCUCUGCUUCUUGACCACCAUGUGAGCUGCUUCCCUCUGUCGCACUCAUCCGCCAUGAUGUUCUGCCUCAACUUGAGCCCUGAGGAAUGGAGGCGGCCUUCUACAGACUAAGACCUUUGAAACCAUAGCCCUCUAAUAAACUUUUCUUCCCCUAAAAAAAAAAAAAAAAAAAGAAAGAAAAAAGAGUGAAGUGUCUUGCCCAAGUCCUCAGGGUUAGUAAGUGGCAGAUCUGGGAUCUGAACCCAAAUAACAGUUCUCCCAGAAUUUGGGCACUUACUGUCCAUCAAAUGCACCAGGUUGUCCCUAGUUUUGAUGAGUCUUGGAAGGUAUGAGAUGGGUCAGGAUGCUGGGCCUCCCUAGGCAUGUCAAAGGAACAAUGUUAAGGCUUCCUGGACAAGCUAGUGAUACACAAACUUUUCCUACAAGGAAAGGAAGAAUUUAAUAGGAACUUUCUAUGAGCCCUUUGUCACAGAAAGAGUCUGUCUGGAAACCUACUUAUUGGAACUUGAACACUAAAUAUGCAUCAAAGACUUGUCAUUCUAAGGCAGGAGUUUGCAUAAGUCAGAAGUUUGUUUACUCCCAUGAGUCUGAAUAAAGAUCAAGGUUAGGUUAAAUAGCUAUUAAUAACAGUUGGAGUUGAGUAAGAGAAAAAAACAAACCUCUGGGACUGGUUGCUUUAGUCUCUUCGAUAGAUGAUCAGGCUAAUACUUGCUACUGGUUUAUUUUAUAUUAUUAUUAUUGUUAUUGGCUUCAGGUGCACCAAAUUAAAUCAGUCAUAACCUUGGCUUGUAACACACUGUCUACACUCAUCCCUGCUCCUUGUUUAUGCUGAUAUUGUUCCAAGUAAUUCUAUUGUAAAGUGCAAUUGAGAUCACAUUCCAAUACACACUCCUGGGUUCUCUGGGUUUGGAUCUACAGCUUGUGGGUGGA
This 17839-nucleotide long non-coding RNA is filed under the name Marmota monax (woodchuck). Lineage: Eukaryota; Metazoa; Chordata; Mammalia; Rodentia; Sciuridae. The record is from RNAcentral.